RNAcentral lists this long non-coding RNA (3554 nucleotides) under Anolis carolinensis (green anole). RNAcentral describes it as "lncRNA (ENSACAG00000037886.1)". Lineage: Eukaryota; Metazoa; Chordata; Lepidosauria; Squamata; Anolidae. The record is from RNAcentral.
AUGAGACUUAAUUGUAAAGUUUGUUGUUGUAGUUUAGUUUUAUAUAUUGUGAAAAACCUUUUCCCUGGUAUUAUUUCUGUUUUAUUUAAUGUUUGCUGUAUUUCUGUAAUUCUAAAUAAAAAUCAAUCUAUAAAAAAGAAAGGGGUUCAAAGGACUUAUCAGCAAGCUAGAUGUUCUACAGUUGGCUCUCCAUCUCUCCUCUCAACCACACUAGGCAAAGUUAAAGGUUUUCCCCUGACAUUAAAUCUAGCUGUGUCCGACUCUACGGGUUGGUGCUCAUUUCCAUUUCUAAGCCAAAGAAGUGGUGUUGUCUGUAGACACCUCCAAGGUUAUGGGGCCGGCAUGACUGCAUGGAGCGCCGUUACCUUCCCACCAAAGUGAUACCUACUGAUCUACUCAUAUUUGCAUAUCUUCAAAUUGCUAGGUUGGCAGAAGCUGGGGCUAACUUCAGGAGCUCACGGCGCUCCACAGAUUCAAACCGCUGACAUUUCAGUCAGCAAGUUCAGCAGCUCAGUGGUUUAAUCUGCUGCGCCACCAUGGGCACACUAAGAGAAGCAAAAAAAAAAAAAAAAGGAAAGAAAGGAAUGGAGGGAGGAAGAGGGGAGAGAAGCAUUUGGAUAAGUUAUUUCCCCUCCCAACUCCAAGUCUUUAAGAGAUUUCAACAAUAGUUUCUGAGUUAACAACUGGAAAUCUUUUUCCUUUGGGUAAUAAUAUGAAUGUAGUAUAUAGAAAGUAGCAUGAACAUAAUAUGAACACUGCAAUCUUUAUAUCUUGUUUUCAUAUAACGGUCACUUUUGCUGAAUAGCAAGACAAAAAAAUAAACACCAGAAAAAAUGUCCCAUGAGACAUUGGUUCCUGACACUGCAAAAUCAAUACUCACUUUCUGUAAACAUGAAACAUUUAAGUAAAAGAUAUAAUGGUUUCUGGUCUCUAUCCACAUGCCUCUCACAAAAAUUCUGUUAUUUAUAAAAGAUUCUUGCACAUCAUUCAAAAGAACCUGAUCUGCCACAUAAUUUGAGUUCCAUUCAUUGGGGAAUUAAAGCAUUCUUAUUUGGUAACAGUCUGGAUUGACAUCUUUCUUUCUCUAUCACUUUCUUUUCCCAUAAAUUAGCUCUCUUUUCCUAAUGCUUUGCUAAUGUGGAAAUAAGAGGUUCAUGAAUUUUCUCUUUGCAAUUAUUUUAUGAUCCCAAUCUAAGGAUAGGGACUGCAUAUUGAUUCUCAUCAUCCUCCACUCGUAGCUAUGCUGUCCAGAGAAUGGGACUCACAAUCCAACAACAUCUGGAAGGCCACACCAAAGGACCAUACUUUUUCUAGAACAACAGGGGUUAGCAUUACUAUUAUCAUUUUGAGGCUGUGAUUCUACCUGGGGAGAGUACAGUCACAAGCAGAUAUCAAUGGCAAUCAAGCAAAAAUUAAUUUUUUUGUUAAUGCUUUCAUCUAGAGACAUUUUGAUGCAUGCUAGAAUGAUAUUUUGACAAAGGGAUGUCAAACUCAUUUUCACUACACUUCUUUGACGUGAAGUGAAGUGAAACUCAUUUUCACCAAGGGUCACAUCACCUUUAUAGUUGCUUCCAAAGUCCAUUUGUAAUUGUAAGUGUAUAAAUCACCAGAUAUGGAUUUGGACUGUGUGACAGAAUAUUUGCCAUAUACUGUACUAUAUUUCAUCUACUGUAAGAUGCCAUCAGUUGUAAGAUACAGAUUGAUUUCUGAGGUUCAGUUUUUGAGAUAUGGAUAUUUUUGAUUCUGUGAUGCACCCUUUAUUUGAGCCUUGAUUUUUGUCUCGCUUCCCAGCUGUCCUCCUUGCCUCUGCAACCCAGUGCUGCUGCCACCUCCCCAAUCUCCACAUCAUUUGUGCUGCCCCGGCUCAGCAUGCAGGGCAUCUCUGCUUUGAGCUGCUGUUGCUGGUCUGGACAAUGCCAUUGCCCCAGUGUUGCCGGGUUUGCCUUUAAAACAGAGGAUCGGGGGCAGUGGUAGAGAGAGAGGGAGCUGCAUGAUCUUUCUCUGCUGAAGGGCCUGGACUCAAGAUCUGGCUUCUCUCUCUUUCUUGAGGUGGGAGAUGGGAGGAAGAAACCCUGUAUGCCAGUAGCAAUGGAGUCCCACUACCUCGCACUCCUGUCACACAGGAUUUCCUUUCGCUCAUAGCCACUGCCACCUCCAGAGAAAGAGAGACCACUUAACUCCUAGUCUUUCCACCACUGUGACUGGCACCCUCAAUUCUCUCCCUUUAAGGCAAACCUGGCAACACUGGGGUGAUGGCAGUAAACAGUUUGGAGCAGAGACGCUCCAUAUGGUAGGCUGGCAGUGGCAUGAGAGAUGGGAGGAUUGAGGAGGCAAUGGCAGCAUUGGACACCAGAGCAGGGGGUCUGGCCAGGACAUCUGGUUUCUCUCCUUCUCUCAGCUGCUGUUCCUGAUCCUCCUUUUUUUUUAAGACAAAACCCUGUGAUGCUAGGAUGCCGUUAUUUCUAAGACAUGUCUCUUUUUUUAACAUCCUUUUUUUGGAAAGAAAAUUGUAUCGGAAUCAGUGAAAUAUGGUAGUACAUUAUAUGCUGGAAACAUCUUUUUGAAAUCAUUACUCCCUACUUGUAAUUUGAGUUUUCUAAUGUGUAAUUUACACCUAUAUCUGCAUUGCCUAUAUCUGUAUCUAUCCCAUGGAGUAGCAUUCAAUUAUGCGACCAUCCAACUUUAAUCUGAAGUGAUACAGCCAAAGAAUUGUUCCACAGUUUGAGAAUGAAAUUCAACUUUAAAUUCUAAAAAAUUCUGUUUCCUUUUUGCAUGGUUUAAUCCUCCUCCUUUUUAAAUGUUCAACAAAAUGCUGAAACAAUGCCCAUUUCUGUCUCUGAAAAAUGUGGACUGUAAAACAUCAACACCUGAAAAGUCAGCUCCUUGGAAUUUAUUUUCCCCAUGUCAAUGUGAAUCUACUCUAAAUUCUCCAUGAUUGCUUUGUUUACAACAUGAGCUAUUGCUUUAGAUAAAUAUAGGCAUUGUCUGAAAGUUCCUGUUGUAAUAUCAGUAGUGUUUCUGCAAUGCUAGAAAUGUGUAUUAACCUUUACACUCUUAUUUGUUGUGUUCAAAAUGGUUUUUGUAAGAUGUAGCAACCCAAUGUGGAUGAGAACAAUUUAAAACAAGAACAGAGGAAGCGUUAAUCAAACACUUCAGUUGGUCAUUGCACCACUCUAUACAACUGUGGAUUUUUCUUUCUUCCUUUCUCUUAAGAACGUAGGUGAGUGCUUGCAACAUCUUGCAAAUAAACUCACAGUCUUUUCACUUUAAGAGACAAUAGAUCUUGAAGAAUCUUAUUGUCUUUUUGUGGAGAGAAAAAUGUGCAGCCAGUUACAGAAAGCUAUAAACAGUCCAUAAACAAGUGUAUAUAGUAAUUCUAAACAGAAGAUUAAACAAAGCAUUUCACUUUCUAAGCACUUAUCUAUACAUUUUGCCCAAAGUAAUCCCUGAAGGAGACAUCAAGGCCAUAAAUAACUUUGUCCCACUGAAGUCCAGCUGACUAAUGACCAGAUAGUAAUAUUCAUUGUAUCAGGAAGAAAAAAUGCCCAAUUGUC